RNAcentral lists this ribosomal RNA (897 nucleotides) under Dinemasporium strigosum. RNAcentral describes it as "LSU rRNA". It matches the Rfam family "Eukaryotic large subunit ribosomal RNA", at positions 38 to 964 of the family's 3401-position model. The record is from RNAcentral. Lineage: Eukaryota; Fungi; Ascomycota; Sordariomycetes; Chaetosphaeriales; Chaetosphaeriaceae.
GCAUAUCAAUAAGCGGAGGAAAAAGAAACCAACAGGGAUUGCCUCAGUAACGGCGAGUGAAGCGGCAACAGCUCAAAUUUGAAAUCUGGCCCCCCGGGUCCGAGUUGUAAUUUGCAGAGGAUGCUUCGGGUGCGGCGUCGACCAAGUCCCCUGGAACGGGGCGCCAUAGAGGGUGAGAGCCCCGUCGGGUCGGCCGCCAAGCCUGUGUGAAGCUCCUUCGACGAGUCGAGUAGUUUGGGAAUGCUGCUCUAAACGGGAGGUAGACCCCUUCUAAAGCUAAAUAUUGGCCAGAGACCGAUAGCGCACAAGUAGAGUGAUCGAAAGAUGAAAAGCACUUUGAAAAGAGGGUUAAACAGUACGUGAAAUUGUUGAAAGGGAAGCGCUUGUGACCAGACGUGCGCCGGGUGUUCAGCGGGCGUUCUCGCCCGUGUACUCACCCCGGCGCAGGCCAGCGUCGGUUCGGAUGGGGGGACAAAGGUCCUGGGAAUGUGGCUCCUCCGGGAGUGUUAUAGCCCAGGGCGUCAUGCCCCCGCCCGGACCGAGGUUCGCGCUCUGCAAGGACGCUGGCGUAAUGGUCCCCAGCGGCCCGUCUUGAAACACGGACCAAGGAGUCGAGGUUUUGCGCGAGUGUUUGGGUGUCAAACCCGCACGCGUAAUGAAAGUGAACGCAGGUGGGAGCUUCGGCGCACCACCGACCGAUCCUGAUGUUCUCGGAUGGAUUUGAGUAGGAGCGUAGGGCCUCGGACCCGAAAGAUGGUGAACUAUACGUGGAUAGGGUGAAGCCAGAGGAAAACUCUGGUGGAGGCUCGCAGCGGUUCUGACGUGCAAAUCGAUCGUCAAAUCUGCGUAUGGGGGCGAAAGACUAAUCGAACCAUCUAGUAGCUGGGUUACCGCCGA